GUGUUCACUUUGGCAGCACAUACACUAAAAUUCAAACAGUUACAGGAGAUUGUCAUGACCCUGUGCAAGGAUGAAAUGUAAAUUUGUGAAGAGUUCUAUAUUUUG
This is a small nuclear RNA of Talpa occidentalis (Iberian mole), 105 nucleotides long. NCBI's taxonomy places the organism in Eukaryota, Metazoa, Chordata, Mammalia, Eulipotyphla, Talpidae. The record is from RefSeq and is a predicted model, not a curated record.